Molecule: ribosomal RNA, 253 nt
Filed under: uncultured bacterium
Lineage: Bacteria
Description: partial 16S ribosomal RNA
Rfam family: Bacterial small subunit ribosomal RNA
Source: RNAcentral
UACGAGGGGGGCGAGCGUUGUUCGGAAUUAUUGGGCGUAAAGGGUGCGUAGGCGGUUUUGUAAGUCUGAUGUGAAAUCUAUGGGCUCAACUCAUAGUCUGCAUCUGAAACUGCCGGGCUUGAGUAUGGGAGAGGUGAGUGGAAUUCCUGGUGUAGCGGUGAAAUGCGUAGAUAUCAGGAGGAACACCUGUGGCGAAAGCGGCUCACUGGACCAUAACUGACGCUGAUGCACGAAAGCUAGGGGAGCAAACAGG